This 794-nucleotide ribosomal RNA is filed under the name uncultured bacterium. RNAcentral describes it as "bacterial SSU rRNA". It matches the Rfam family "Bacterial small subunit ribosomal RNA", at positions 8 to 798 of the family's 1533-position model. The record is from RNAcentral.
AGAGUUUGAUCAUGGCUCAGAUUGAACGCUGGCGGCAGGCCUAACACAUGCAAGUCGAGCGGAUGAAGGGAGCUUGCUCCCUGAUUUAGCGGCGGACGGGUGAGUAAUGCCUAGGAAUCUGCCUGGUAGUGGGGGACAACGUUUCGAAAGGAACGCUAAUACCGCAUACGUCCUACGGGAGAAAGUGGGGGAUCUUCGGACCUCACGCUAUCAGAUGAGCCUAGGUCGGAUUAGCUAGUUGGUGAGGUAAAGGCUCACCAAGGCGACGAUCCGUAACUGGUCUGAGAGGAUGAUCAGUCACACUGGAACUGAGACACGGUCCAGACUCCUACGGGAGGCAGCAGUGGGGAAUAUUGGACAAUGGGCGAAAGCCUGAUCCAGCCAUGCCGCGUGUGUGAAGAAGGUCUUCGGAUUGUAAAGCACUUUAAGUUGGGAGGAAGGGCAGUAAGUUAAUACCUUGCUGUUUUGACGUUACCAACAGAAUAAGCACCGGCUAACUUCGUGCCAGCAGCCGCGGUAAUACGAAGGGUGCAAGCGUUAAUCGGAAUUACUGGGCGUAAAGCGCGCGUAGGUGGUUCGUUAAGUUGGAUGUGAAAGCCCCGGGCUCAACCUGGGAACUGCAUCCAAAACUGGCGAGCUAGAGUAUGGCAGAGGGUGGUGGAAUUUCCUGUGUAGCGGUGAAAUGCGUAGAGGUCGGAAAAAUACCGGUGGCGAAGGCGACUCUCUGGCCAAAGACUGACGCUGAGGCGCGAAAGCGUGGGGAGCAAACAGGAUUAGAUACCCUGGUAGUCCAA